This 443-nucleotide ribosomal RNA is filed under the name uncultured bacterium. Its description in RNAcentral is "partial 16S ribosomal RNA". It matches the Rfam family "Bacterial small subunit ribosomal RNA", at positions 338 to 795 of the family's 1533-position model. The record is from RNAcentral.
CCUACGGGAGGCUGCAGUGGGGAAUAUUGGGCAAUGGGCGCAAGCCUGACGCAGCAACGCCGCGUGAAGGAAGAAGGCUCUCGGGUUGUAAACUUCUUUUAUCAGGGACGAAGCAAGUGACGAUACCUGAUGAAUAAGCCACGGCUAACUGCGUGCCAGCAGCCGCGAUAAUGCGUAGGUGGCAAGCGUUAUCCGGAUUCACUGGGUGUAAAGGGCGUGUAGGGGGGAAAGCAAGUCAGAUGUGAAACCCAUGGGCUCAACCUGUGGCCUGCAUUUGAAACUGUUUUUCUUGAGUGCUGGAGAGGCAGACGGAAUUCCUAGUGUAGCGGUGAAAUGCGUAGAUAUUAGGAGGAACACCAGUGGCGAAGGCGGUCUGCUGGACAGCAACUGACGCUGAGGAGCGAAAGCGUGGGGAGCAAACAGGAUUAGAUACCCUGGUAGUC